UCGUUCGGAAACUCUUUGUAU
This 21-nucleotide non-coding RNA is filed under the name Caenorhabditis elegans. Lineage: Eukaryota; Metazoa; Nematoda; Chromadorea; Rhabditida; Rhabditidae. The record is from RNAcentral.